Molecule: ribosomal RNA, 253 nt
Filed under: uncultured bacterium
Lineage: Bacteria
Description: partial 16S ribosomal RNA
Rfam family: Bacterial small subunit ribosomal RNA
Source: RNAcentral
UACAGAGGGUGCAAGCGUUGUUCGGAAUUACUGGGCGUAAAGAGCUCGUAGGUGGUUUGUCGCGUUGUCCGUGAAAACUCACAGCUUAACUGUGGGCGUGCGGGCGAUACGGGCAGACUGGAGUACUGCAGGGGAGACUGGAAUUCCUGGUGUAGCGGUGGAAUGCGCAGAUAUCAGGAGGAACACCGGUGGCGAAGGCGGGUCUCUGGGCAGUAACUGACGCUGAGGAGCGAAAGCGUGGGGAGCGAACAGG